GUCCACGCUGUAAACGAUGACGACUAGGUGUGGGGGGUUAGUCCUUUCCGUGCCGCAGCUAACGCAUUAAGUCGUCCGCCUGGGGAGUACGGCCGCAAGGUUGAAACUCAAAGGAAUUGACGGGGGCCCGCACAAGCGGUGGAGCAUGUGGUUCAAUUCGAUGCAGAGCGAAGAACCUUACCUGGGCUUGACAUGCUGGAAGUAGAAACCCGAAAGGGGGACGACCUGUUAAGUCAGGAGCCAGCACAGGUGGUGCAUGGCUGUCGU
Molecule: ribosomal RNA, 267 nt
Filed under: uncultured bacterium
Lineage: Bacteria
Description: partial 16S ribosomal RNA
Rfam family: Bacterial small subunit ribosomal RNA
Source: RNAcentral